UACAGAGGGUGCGAGCGUUAAUCGGAAUUACUGGGCGUAAAGCGCACGUAGUCGGCUUUGCAAGUCGGGUGUGAAAUCCCCGGGCUCAACCUGGGAACUGCAUCCGAGACUGCAUUGCUAGAGUAUGGGAGAGGGAAGCGGAAUUCCUGGUGUAGCGGUGGAAUGCGCAGAUAUCAGGAGGAACACCGGUGGCGAAGGCGGAUCUCUGGGCCUUACCUGACGCUGAGACGCGAAAGCGUGGGGAGCGAACAGG
Molecule: ribosomal RNA, 253 nt
Filed under: uncultured bacterium
Lineage: Bacteria
Description: partial 16S ribosomal RNA
Rfam family: Bacterial small subunit ribosomal RNA
Source: RNAcentral